AGAACGAACGCUGGCGGCAUGCCUAACACAUGCAAGUCGAACGAGAUCCUUCGGGGUCUAGUGGCGCACGGGUGCGUAACGCGUGGGAAUCUGCCCUUAGGUACGGAAUAACUCAGGGAAACUUGUGCUAAUACCGUAUGAUGUCUUCGGACCAAAGAUUUAUCGCCUAGGGAUGAGCCCGCGUAGGAUUAGCUAGUUGGUGGGGUAAAGGCCUACCAAGGCUACGAUCCUUAGCUGGUCUGAGAGGAUGAUCAGCCACACUGGGACUGAGACACGGCCCAGACUCCUACGGGAGGCAGCAGUGGGGAAUAUUGGACAAUGGGCGAAAGCCUGAUCCAGCAAUGCCGCGUGAGUGAAGAAGGCCUUCGGGUUGUAAAGCUCUUUUACCCGGGAAGAUAAUGACUGUACCGGGAGAAUAAGCCCGGCUAACUCCGUGCCAGCAGCCGC
Molecule: ribosomal RNA, 447 nt
Filed under: uncultured bacterium
Lineage: Bacteria
Description: SSU rRNA
Rfam family: Bacterial small subunit ribosomal RNA
Source: RNAcentral